GUAAAGUUCUUUUGGAGGGGAAGAAUGGUUGUAUAGGAAAUGCCGAUGUGAUUGACAGUACCGGCAAAGAAACCACCCCUUAAUUCAUGCCAGCAGCCGCGAUAAUAA
This 108-nucleotide ribosomal RNA is filed under the name uncultured bacterium. RNAcentral describes it as "partial 16S ribosomal RNA". The record is from RNAcentral.